UUUUGUUGACCACGCACCCUGAUCAUACCUAACCCUCCCUUUUCUACAGACUUGCAAAUGGCUGUUCUUUUAAUCUUCUCCUUAGCCUUUCGGUUCGAGAACUUUGUCUGCCAUAAAAAUUUGAAAAACAGUGUGUCAAUGUAGCUAGUGACCUCGUCAGGUAAAAACAGUGCUUGCAUGAUAUACGAAAUUUGCGACAGCAAGAAAGUCUUACAGAGUAUUACCUUUCCAUAGAGUGAAUGGUUUCUCUUUUGCCACAUUUUCAUGAUAUUUUUAAUUGUUUCUAACUUUCCUUUCCAAUUUAGAUCAAUUUUAGAAGCCUCCUCGACUGCACUAAAAUAAAUCCCAAGUAUCUUCAUUUUGCCACCAGUUGCCAUCCAGGCAAUAUUCCCUGCAGUCUGAUCAUUAUGUUUACUCCUACCUAUCCACAUGUCCUUUGAUUUCAGCUUAUUGAGUCUCAGGCCCGAAAUCCUAGAGAAGUUAUCAAUGUUCCUGAGGGCAACAACAAGAUCAUGUUGGUCUCUCAAUAACAGCGUAGUAUCAUCUGCGAAUUGAAGAAUCUUACCCAGAUGCACUGUCCUUUCACUUCUCUGUAAUGACAGACCGUUUAUAUCUUUAUUACUUCUUAUUUUUAUGGCCAUCAAUUCAACUACAAGGACAAAAAGAAGUGGACUGGCGCAGCACCCCUGUUUAACUCCAUGCUCUAUGUUAAACCAGCCAGACAACCACCCCCCAUUUUGCACACAGCACUCUGUGUUAGUGAUAAUGGUUUUAAUCAUAUUUAUAAACUGACCACCAAAAUUGAACUUUCUCAAAGCAGCUAAAAUUGAUCUCUUUUCAAUUGCAGGGCUGCCUAAAUCUACCGAUUUUUCCGGUAGAUACCGAUUUUGGGCCUGUUCUACCGACAUACCGAUAAGGUCUCAAAACUACCGGAUUUGCGAUGGGUUCCGAGAGAAUAAACAGAAAAAAACC
Molecule: long non-coding RNA, 972 nt
Organism: Aplysia californica (California sea hare)
Lineage: Eukaryota; Metazoa; Mollusca; Gastropoda; Aplysiida; Aplysiidae
Exons: 2
Source: RefSeq, a predicted model, not a curated record